Molecule: ribosomal RNA, 454 nt
Filed under: uncultured Marinilabiliaceae bacterium
Lineage: Bacteria; Pseudomonadati; Bacteroidota; Bacteroidia; Marinilabiliales; Marinilabiliaceae
Description: partial 16S ribosomal RNA
Rfam family: Bacterial small subunit ribosomal RNA
Source: RNAcentral
ACGGGAGGCAGCAGUGAGGAAUAUUGGUCAAUGGGCGGAAGCCUGAACCAGCCAUGUCGCGUGCAGGACUACGGCCCUACGGGUCUUAAACUGCUUUUGCAAGGGGAUAAAGUGGGGCAUGUAUGCCCCUUUGCAGGUACCUUGCGAAUAAGGAUCGGCUAACUCCGUGCCAGCAGCCGCGGUAAUACGGAAGGUCCGAGCGUUAUCCGGAUUUAUUAGGUUUAAAGGGUGCGCAGGCGGGAUAUUAAGUCGGCGGUGAAAUACCGUGGCCCAACCACGGGGCUGCCGUCGAUACUGAUGACCUAGAGUGCGUGUGACGUAGGCGGAAUGUGACGUGUAGCGGUGAAAUGCUUAGAUAUGUCACAGAACACCGAUUGCGAAGGCAGCCUACGAAUGCGUAACUGACGCUCAUGCACGAAAGCGCGGGUAGCGAACAGGAUUAGAUACCCUGGUA